GUUCUCAUAGAUAUGAAUGAGUAGAUAGGACACGCCCCUUUGAGCUGCGUGCUACAGCGAGGCUAAGCUAGUGGGGGCAAAGUUUCAGUGCAUUCUGUUGAUGUAGACGGCGUGAAAACGUAAACAACAAGUAUGCCGGCUCACUGUGCUGCAUACAGUUACACACUACGUCGUACGAUUGAGACAAGGAAACUUGGAAUGACUUUUCAUAGGUAAGAAUAGUUUUUGGCUCUUUUUUCAUGAUGAAAUCUUGUUGAGAGCUUCCAGUCUGUGAGAGCUAACUAGUUAGCCACUAGCAAAACGCUAAGGCGAGCUAGGAUGUAGUUCAGAAAACAUCAAAGUAUAGUAUGCUUUACUCAAGAAUAACAUAGUAUGGCCUGUAGUUCAUAGUACAGCAUGUUGGCAAGAAAAAAAAACAAAACAUAGAUUAUUAUGUGAUUCAAAAAGCGCAAAAUGAUAGGAUGUUGCCUAAAAUUGUCAUGUAUGAUAUGUGGUUCAAAAAAUGUCACAGUGCAGUAUAUUGUCAAAAUAGUAUGUAAUUCAACAAAACAUCAGAGUAUAAUAUGUCGUCUAAAAAAUGCCAUAGAAUAAUAAUUUCAUUGCACAAGUAAAAGUAUAGUAACUUUUAAAACUGUUCAAAUUCUUAUAUGUUGCUAAAAAAAAUAAAAAAACUAAAGCAAAAAAACGUCACAGUAAUAUGUCAAUUAAAAAAGCCUAUAGUAUAGCGUGUCGCACAACAAACAUCAUAGUAUAGCAUGUUGCUCUAAAAACGUCACAGUAUAGCCUUUAGUCCACAGCUGUCAGUAGGUGAGGAGCAACACAAAAACAGUCCAAAUGCUGGUUUCCAGAGGGUUAGAUGAGAAUUUAUUUGAAAGAGUAAGUUUACAACAACACAACAUGUGAGGGGGUUAAAAACAAAUGGGUGUUAGUAAAAUAAAAAUAAAUCAACAGAACUAAAAGUAAACUUCAUGUUGACAAUGAUAGGCAUUCCAACCAGGAACAAAGUAAAAGAUAAUCAAUACGAAAACAAAACCUCUUCCUGUUCACCUCUUAAAACCCAAAAACACACCUCAGUAGCACCCUAAACUAAAACUACCAAUGGGUUCCCUGUUUUCCUUUGUGAACAGUUCAAAGGUCCCUCUCUAUCUCCCCACACAUCCACCAACCACUGGAACACAUCUCCAAAGUUCUGCCAGGCCAGCUCAGCUUCCCCUCAGAAGAAGUGCCACCACCUGCCAGAUGAAGGAGCCUUUUGAGAGGCAGCUGGCAUCGUGAUUGGACUGUACUUUGGUCUGUUCCAAUCCAGCUUCAGCUCCAGAGACGGCAGGCGGGACGAGUCAACGGAGGCCUGGUGGACGAAGGCAUGCAGCUGAGUACAAUCCAGAAAACAACAGAGGAGGAGUGCAGCAGCCCAGAGCCAGAACAACCAGAGUAGCAUCACCAAAGAACUACAGACUCUUCACAACCUGCUCAAACUCUUGGUACAGGACCUCACCACACGGGUCAAGAAGGUUUCUGUCUCAUUUCUACUCUGAAGCUCACCUUCUCCUGCUCAAACUGCUGACAAAUGUUUCUGCUGCUCUAAAGUCUGAUCUCCAGAACUUCCUAAAAACUCUCAAAGUCUCUUCUGCUGCAGGUUGCUUUGUAGAACUGUUGCAGAAAACCUCACUAAACCACAUGGAGGGGCCUCAAGAUAGUCGUCCAAAUGAAACCAUACAAAAACCAAACUAGCACAACCCAAACGCUAAAGUCUCCUGCAGCCUACCAGAGAACCUCUGAGAACAGAGAAUCAGGACAGGAACUCUUACCUUCUGGACAACCAACGUUGGUUCUCAAACAAGAAUACAGAAUGUGUCUGACCAAAAACCUCUGAAGACUCACUACAGCCAAGAUAAAGACACAACUCAGCUGCACCAAAUCCACUAAUCACUGCACACAUUAGCACCAUGUGCUAACUGUGGCUAAAGAACCACAUUUACCAAGACAACUAUCCAGUACAAAGCCCUAAAACACACCAAGAGACACAUUAAAGAUGAUUUUACUGCUGGAAGCUGCAAACCAACGCCUAAAGAACAAACUAAAGCAAUGGAACCAAACCCGGUUCUGUGGUGAAGAGAAGCAGAGGAAAUGUUUGUCUGCAGCUAAAUAAAGCAGGAAGACACUGA
Amphiprion ocellaris (clown anemonefish) is the source of this 2165-nucleotide long non-coding RNA. RefSeq lists it as uncharacterized. The transcript is spliced from 2 exons. The record is from RefSeq and is a predicted model, not a curated record. NCBI's taxonomy places the organism in Eukaryota, Metazoa, Chordata, Actinopteri, Pomacentridae.